Molecule: long non-coding RNA, 555 nt
Filed under: Homo sapiens (human)
Lineage: Eukaryota; Metazoa; Chordata; Mammalia; Primates; Hominidae
Description: HSALNT0393429
Source: RNAcentral
AGAUGCAGCCCAGAGAGAUGAGCAUGUAACACACAGCAAGAAUGCAGCCACCAGGCAAGCCAAGGAGAGAGCCUUCAGAAGAAACCAACCCUGCCGACACCUUGACCUCAGACUUCCAGCCUCUAAAACGAUUGAAGACAAUGCUGAUCAUACUAUCAACCAUGAAGGACUGUGCUGAGGAUUGAAUGAGAAUACAUUCAGGCCACGGAACACAGUGUGUAUAUAUUACACAUGCUCCAAAAAGGCUAGCUGCUACUAUGAAGUUGGAUAAAUUGACUCAGGAAAGGGCAGAAUGAACUUGAUAUUGUGACUGUACAUUUCAGAGAGGCCCCAAAGAGCAAAUAUUCAGAUCACAGCAUUCACUCCCGGAAUAAGCAUAUUCGAAAACCCUUUCUUUGUCAAGCACGAUACGUGGAGGGAGACUCAUUCUGUUUCAGAAAGCUGAGAGUUAAGUGGCCAAGAUAACCCCAAAAGACAAUCCUAAUAGAUGUGGUGGACACAACAGCAGAAAUAUGGCCACAGGUGUCACAUUUCCAGAGAGAGGCUGAUGAUUGC